This 289-nucleotide long non-coding RNA is filed under the name Callithrix jacchus (white-tufted-ear marmoset). RNAcentral's name for it is "lncRNA (ENSCJAG00000083685.1)". Lineage: Eukaryota; Metazoa; Chordata; Mammalia; Primates; Cebidae. The record is from RNAcentral.
CCCCAUGGGCCUCACUCUGUCACCCCGGCUACACUGCAGUGGCUUACUGAAACUUCACAUCCCAGGCUCAAGCAAUCCUCCUCCCUCAGCCUCUCAGCCUCUUCAGUAGCUACAACACAGGUCCCACAGGUGUGUGCCCAACACCCAGCUAAUUUUCGAAUUUUGGUAGACAUCUCUACCUCAUCGGUCUUAUUCUGUUGUCCUGGUUGGUCUCAAACUUCUGGGCUCAAGCUAUCUUCCUGCUUCAGCCUCCCAAAGUGCUGGGAUUACAGGCUCAAAUAGUGUGUGC